RNAcentral lists this ribosomal RNA (125 nucleotides) under Pteropus alecto (black flying fox). Lineage: Eukaryota; Metazoa; Chordata; Mammalia; Chiroptera; Pteropodidae. RNAcentral also lists the same sequence under 1 other name. The record is from RNAcentral.
GUCUACGGCCAUGCCACCCUGAACAAGACCGAUGUCUAAUCUCGGAAGCGAGAUCAGCUAAGCAGGGGCGGGCCUGGAUAGUACUUGGAUGGGAGACCACCUAGGAAGACCAGGUGCUGUAGGCA